UUGCCUACGGGGCGCAGCAGUGAGGAAUAUCGGUCAAUGGGCGAGAGCCUGAACCAGCCAAGUCGCGUGAGGGAAGACGGUCCUAUGGAUUGUAAACCUCUUUUGCCGGGGAGCAAAAAGCGGUACGUGUACCGCAUCGAGAGUACCCGGAGAAAAAGCAUCGGCUAACCCCGUGCCAGCAGCCGCGGUAAUAUGGAGGAUUCAAGCGUUAUCCGGAUUUAUUGGGUUUAAAGGGUGCGUAGGCGGUUCGAUAAGUUAGAGGUGAGAUCCCGGGGCUCAACUCCGGCACUGCCUCUGAUACUGUC
This 305-nucleotide ribosomal RNA is filed under the name uncultured bacterium. Its description in RNAcentral is "bacterial SSU rRNA". It matches the Rfam family "Bacterial small subunit ribosomal RNA", at positions 335 to 637 of the family's 1533-position model. The record is from RNAcentral.